This 253-nucleotide ribosomal RNA is filed under the name uncultured bacterium. RNAcentral describes it as "partial 16S ribosomal RNA". It matches the Rfam family "Bacterial small subunit ribosomal RNA", at positions 524 to 776 of the family's 1533-position model. The record is from RNAcentral.
UACAGAGGGUGCGAGCGUUAAUCGGAAUUACUGGGCGUAAAGCGCGCGUAGGCGGCUUUGCAAGUCGGGUGUGAAAUCCCCAGGCUUAACCUGGGAACUGCAUUCGAGACUGCAUUGCUAGAGUAUGGGAGAGGGAAGUGGAAUUUCCGGUGUAGCGGUGAAAUGCGUAGAUAUCGGGAGGAACACCAGUGGCGAAGGCGACUACCUGGCCUGUUCUUGACGCUGAGGCGCGAAAGCUAGGGGAGCAAACGGG